This 253-nucleotide ribosomal RNA is filed under the name uncultured bacterium. RNAcentral describes it as "partial 16S ribosomal RNA". It matches the Rfam family "Bacterial small subunit ribosomal RNA", at positions 524 to 776 of the family's 1533-position model. The record is from RNAcentral.
UACGUAGGGUGCAAGCGUUAAUCGGAAUUACUGGGCGUAAAGCGUGCGCAGGCGGUUUUGUAAGUCUGUCGUGAAAGCCCCGGGCUCAACCUGGGAAUUGCGAUGGAGACUGCAAGGCUUGAAUCUGGCAGAGGGGGGUAGAAUUCCACGUGUAGCAGUGAAAUGCGUAGAGAUCUGGAGGAACACCGAUGGCGAAGGCAGCCUUCUGGGCCAACACUGACGCUCAUGCACGAAAGCGUGGGGAGCAAACAGG